This 253-nucleotide ribosomal RNA is filed under the name uncultured bacterium. RNAcentral describes it as "partial 16S ribosomal RNA". It matches the Rfam family "Bacterial small subunit ribosomal RNA", at positions 524 to 776 of the family's 1533-position model. The record is from RNAcentral.
UACGUAGGGUGCGAGCGUUAAUCGGAAUUACUGGGCGUAAAGCGUGCGCAGGCGGUUCGUCGUGUCCGAUGUGAAAGCCCCGGGCUCAACCUGGGAAUGGCAUUGGAAACUGGCGGACUCGAGUGUGGCAGAGGGGGGUGGAAUUCCGCGUGUAGCAGUGAAAUGCGUAGAUAUGCGGAGGAACACCGAUGGCGAAGGCAGCCCCCUGGGUCAAGAUUGACGCUCAUGCACGAAAGCGUGGGGAGCAAACAGG